This is a long non-coding RNA of Odontomachus brunneus, 1598 nucleotides long. RefSeq lists it as uncharacterized. The transcript is spliced from 3 exons. The record is from RefSeq and is a predicted model, not a curated record. NCBI's taxonomy places the organism in Eukaryota, Metazoa, Arthropoda, Insecta, Hymenoptera, Formicidae.
UAACCUAACUUAACCUUGUCAGAAUGGCAUGAGAAGGCAUGUGUAAUAAAUACUGUAAUUAGAGCCGAUGAUAAGUGAGAAUUUCCGAAUGUGUGUGCGACACGAGUUGCCAAUAUUUCCAACAGAUAAUAAGAGCUAUGAGAUCGUUAUUUUUAUGAAACUGAUAGGCUUGUAGACGGAGUCCUUUUUUCUUUCUUUAGCUUUCAAGUAGAACGGAAAAUCACGAUAACGUCAAAAUGACGAGAUGACCGGAUCAUAAUCAAAAAGUGGAAUUUGUUUAGAAGGUUAUUUUCUUAGGAUCCACGUAAGAACUCAGAUCAAUCGGCGAGCGUAACUUGAUCGAUCAUCUUCGUGACGAACCAUUUGCUAAUAAUUACGGCGAAAGUUUUGCAUUACUUGAUGAUGCUAUCGAGUCGAAUAGUUAAUUAGUCUCCGUGUGUGGUUACAGCAUCGCCCAUCAAUACAAUGUAAUUGCUGUGUGGCUACGGACGCGCGAUUAGUCGGCUGUUUCUUGUGCUACGGGAAAAGGGUCCCCGACAUGGUCGCAUUUUUAUGAAGAGGUGUCUCGCAAUCGCGCUAAUUGCACGACUAAUGGACACAAGGUCGCAUCAUACGAAGGAACAAGCAAUGUUAAGCGGAAAUAAAACGGAGAGAUUGAUCGGCCUUGUACAGGAUAUACCUCCAAGGGACGUUUCGUGGAUGUCUCGAGAACAUCCUCAAAACGUCCUUUGGAAGGUCUGGCUGUCUAAGACAUAUUUGUAUCAAUUAACAAAUUGCAUCCGGCAGAUAACGAUCCUCUGAUCGGACGCGAUCCUAACGUACGCUGUGCGCGAGAAUUGCAUCACACUGAGAAAACGAACACCGUGCCGCAUCGUUCUUCAUCGACUUUUACGUGUGGCUCGCUGCGGAGAAACUAGAAGCGAGCCGCCGUCCGAAAGUCGGCGAAAGGAUUCACCCUCCGCGCGCGGAAUUUCGAUUCCGUCGACAGCUCGAUCGAUCGGCUUGCCUAGCGAUUCGCUCGCCGAUCACAUCAGCGCUUCCUCUUAUAUUCCGCGCGACGCUCAAGGCAAGCUAGACAGCCAGCCGGGUGCGAAUCUGCGACUCGAAAUCGGAUCGGCCUUCACCGACGUCGGCAUCUUCAAGCGGUCGAUCGUGCGCCAACUGCUCUGUUUAUCGUGGUGGCGAUGGCCGCACCCCUCAGAAUCAACCGCUUACGUGUGCUUUAUAUUUCCCAAAGGUCAGCAACGACGACGAUGAUGACGAAGAACGACGACAAUAAAGAAAAGGAACCGUAUAAUAGUAUAGUCCGAGAUACGCGUGAUUCGAGAGCACGUUGCCACGUCGCGACGCGCCUUCGUUAUAUUAUGCAACCGUCUUCAGCUCUAACAGUCUGAACUAUAUUUUCUUUUGCUUGGCUCACCUCUCGGGAAGACUUAGGCUACUGAGCCGGGGCACCCAUUCACUCUCAGCUUGUCAGCCAGCGAGAGCAUCGUUGGUGUAACCGUGAAGAUCGCGAUAAAGCAUCCCGACGGCAGACGAGUUGUCUUCACCCCGAUAGACAGGACAACGGAACUAUCGUUCAACGAUAUCGAAUUUUG